GACGAAGGGGGCUAGCGUUGUUCGGAAUUAUUGGGCGUAAAGCGCGUGUAGGCGGCUUUGCAAGUCGGGUGUGAAAUCCCUCAGCUCAACUGAGGAAGUGCGCCCGAAACUGCAGAGCUUGAGUACCGGAGAGGAUGGCGGAAUUCCCCAAGUAGAGGUGAAAUUCGUAGAUAUGGGGAGGAACACCGGUGGCGAAGGCGGCCAUCUGGACGGAUACUGACGCUGAGGAGCGAAAGCGUGGGGAGCGAACAGG
Molecule: ribosomal RNA, 253 nt
Filed under: uncultured bacterium
Lineage: Bacteria
Description: partial 16S ribosomal RNA
Rfam family: Bacterial small subunit ribosomal RNA
Source: RNAcentral